AACGAACGCUGGCAGCAUGCCUAACACAUGCAAGUCGAACGAGACCUUCGGGUCUAGUGGCGCACGGGUGCGUAACGCGUGGGAACCUGCCCUUAGGUUCGGAAUAACUCCCCGAAAGGGGUGCUAAUACCGGAUAAUGUCUUCGGACCAAAGAUUUAUCGCCUUUGGAUGGGCCCGCGUUGGAUUAGCUAGUUGGUAGGGUAAAAGCCUACCAAGGCGACGAUCCAUAGCUGGUCUGAGAGGAUGAUCAGCCACACUGGGACUGAGACACGGCCCAGACUCCUACGGGAGGCAGCAGUGGGGAAUAUUGGACAAUGGGCGAAAGCCUGAUCCAGCAAUGCCGCGUGAGUGAUGAAGGCCUUAGGGUUGUAAAGCUCUUUACCCGGGAUGAUAAUGACAGUACCGGGAGAAUAAGCUCCGGCUAACUCCGUG
Molecule: ribosomal RNA, 432 nt
Filed under: uncultured bacterium
Lineage: Bacteria
Description: partial 16S ribosomal RNA
Rfam family: Bacterial small subunit ribosomal RNA
Source: RNAcentral